Molecule: non-coding RNA, 8166 nt
Organism: Lupinus albus (white lupine)
Lineage: Eukaryota; Viridiplantae; Streptophyta; Magnoliopsida; Fabales; Fabaceae
Source: the annotation of a GenBank genome assembly
GCGUCCGGCAGAACCAUGGGAAGAUUAGAAUGACCUAGGUACCUCAUUAAAGAUAGAUAGCUAUCUUACACAGUAAAUUGAUCUAUCCAUGGUUGGUUGAGGAAGAAGGGUAGAAGAGAUUUGCUCUUAAGGAAGGAGGUAAUAAGGGAAGUCAAGACGGGCUUAGCCGUUCUCAGAGCUUUGACUAGCUCUCAUGGUAGACGAGAAGAAAGGAACUGACCUACUUCAACUGCACUGUGGGAAAGACAGACUAUAUUCCUGUAGCCAGGUCGGGUUAGGGCUUCAUAUCCUGCUUAGGCAAGGAAGAAGAGCGGCUGAAAGCCAAUCGAAAACCGGCAUAGAAUGGAAUUGAUUGGUUCGCCACUUCUGAAGAAGCGAAGGAGAGGGGUGAAGUAGAGUAAGGAGUUUAGGCUUUCUUUUUUUCAGCUCAAUCCCUUGCUUCUUGUUUUCGAGCCGGAGCUCGCUGGGUAGUGAAGUGGUCCGUGAAGGUUAAAUCACACUUGUGUUAAGCAAGCCGAGUAGUCAGACUUAACAUUGAUUGAAGCAGCUGUUGGAGAGAAGACACCAGUCAGACCUGCAAGCACCGGGUAGUACGCAGCGGCAGUUUUCAAUCAUACAAUGUGUACUCGUAGUCUGACUUUUAGCGGUAGUCAGCUGUCCUCGUUCUCCUCUUUUCAUUGCCCUAUUGUAUUGAUUGAGUAAGGCUCGGUGUUUGCAAAAAUGUCGAGCCUUACUCAAUCAAUAGGGGUCAGGUACCAGUAGUGACAAUGGCAAAGGGGGGGAGCUGGACACUGCUGAACCGGAAGAGAUUGCUCAGGAUGAGUGUCUGGGUAACAAAGCCGAGAAGGGUGUAGUCAAGGUGCGAGUUUAACGAGCGAGGAGAGUGAUUUGGCCCAUAGAAGCGAGGAUCUGGAAGAGAGGGUUGAUACUGGGUCAACUAUGGCAGUGACUGAGGGGGACUUGUUCUGUGAUAAACAAAUGACUCCAAACAAGAACCUCAGGGCAGCCAAUCCUAAGAAAAGAGGUGAACCUGAAGCAGUAAGAGUAAGCGUUCAGGUGCUGGUGCGAAGACCUUUUUUCCACCUUUUUCGAAUCGAAUGAUUCAGCGCUCUCAGAAAGCGGAUCAAAGGCUUCCUAUUCAACGGAUUCGGAUUAUUCGACUUUAGAUGCUUCGGAUGCUUCCUCGGCCUUAGGUCACAGUACGUACUUCUGUUUGGAGAGUCUGUUCCUUACUUAGCUAGGACUUUGAGUGACUAGAGUAGCCCCUCUGUAUCCGAAGGCGCCUUUUUGUUUAUGCACCUGAAACGGCUUCCGAUUUUACUUAUAGUAAAGUGGAUCGACCCCGUUCAGUAUAAUUACGAAGAAAGCUAGGCUUCUUGAACCAGAGCUAAUUAGAUCUUCCCCUUUCGACAAUGUGUUUGAAUAGCAAGCAAAAGUACCACGACCGAACAAUUCAAUUCGGUUAACAAACGACUUCUAGAAUGAACUACAUCCAUUCUUCCAACCGGCAUACCUUUCUUCUCGUAACUACGAUCUGUCUUCGGUGUUGAUAUGAUCUUUCUAUCAAGAAAAGAUCGGGAAUUGCCGCUAGGCUUUUCUUUUAGCUCUCACUCAUUCCGAUUCCGAUCCCGGGCGAUUCUUUUUAUUUUUUUCUUUGUCACUAAGGAAGGAGUAGUUGUGGCUUUUGACCAAGAGAACGAGCUAGACAGAAAAGGUACCACCGAAAGAAGGUCGACCUCACCCCCUUUGGUAAACCGAAGCAGAGAAAGAGGAAGAAGCAAAGCUAGGCCAUUCGAUUAGGGAUGUUCUCACCUAUGCGUACUCUCUUGAAUAAGGAAUCUAAAAAAGAACCUUAUUCUUUUUCGCAUCUCCCAAGUUCGAAUGCUUUUAUGCUGUUAAAAGAAAUCGAAUACCAUUCGAUUCCGAUUCGUGACCCAAUUCAAAAAACGGAGUGACUGAAGACCUCCUCCCCCUUUCCCGCCUAUCCCUCCCUUUGAAGUAGAGAGGACUCGUUCUGGCUUUAAAGAGCCUCUUUUUUAGCAGUCUCGCCCAUAAUAGAAGAUAAGAUUGACCAUCUCUUCUUCCAAGCUUCUUUCUGCUUCUUCUCGGCGUAACGAAAGAACUAGAUUCGGAAGAGGAGAGGCCUCCGGUUUCAAAUCCCUACCCUACGCCUUUUCCGUUCCGUUCCGAACGAGGGCGCCCUAGCCUCACUCCCAAGGGUCAAUCAAGCCUUUGAAACUAGUUCAAAUAGUCGUCACAGUCUUCGUUCCUGCUUUCAACGAGAAUUAGCUGCAUCAGCUUGUAAAACUCUCUAUCCUUCACCAGGAAAGGGAGAGCGGACAAAGUACCAGACUCUUUAUUUUGUUUGAUUGGGUAAGAAGAGCGUACGAUAAGAGUAAGCAGACGAUGUCGAUAGAAGACGAUUCGUGGGAUCUUAUCUUCCUCAAAGUCAAAGAAAGAGUCUGAAUGAGCUAAAGAAAUAAGGUAUGCCCAGCCCAUGGAAUUCUAUGUCGAAUGAGUACGAUUUCGAGCAUAAAUAAAGAGAGAAGAAAAAGUCAGUUUUUAGCAAGAAUCUAGGUUUAGCAAGAUAGCUGCCAGAAAGACUGAGCUUAGGUGCAUAGCGCUUAAAUAAGUGGUGGAAGAGUCGCUUUCCAUCCCAUCCCCGACAAUGACUACUUACUUUAAAUUUUUGGGAUUUAACUUAAAAGACUGGACUUCAAGCAGCAAUGAGAGCAAAGGCAAGGAAUUGAUGCGCCAAUAAUCGAAGAAUGGGGCAAGGCAAAUUUCCAGACAAUGGCAAGUGCUUGAGAAGGAGCUGUGAAAGAAGGGGCUGCUAGAGAAUAGGGAGCUCUUGAAGAAGAAGGGAUUGCGGGGUGAACGGCAUUCUGUUGUACUACUAACACUAGCUGUACUCGAGUAGUUUAGUAGCGCCUUUUGAAUCAAAUAGGCGAACCCUUUCCGAAAGGCGAACAGCCCGCAUUGCAAGCAAAUAGAUAGCCCCCGCCCCUUUGAGUCGUUGCGAGCCGGAAAGCGUACCGGCAGUUUGAGUCGCGAAAGGGCCGCUUGCUUAAUCUUUAUUUUAUUAUAUUUAUACAAACAAAUAAGAAAAUCAUUUUUUUAUCCAAUUGUUAAUUCCUGGGAAGAGGAAGAAGCAGAUAGAGCAAAGGCCUCCUCUUUCCGUCCACUCUUCCCAAUGAAGAAGUGAGCUAAUUGCAUGUAGAGAUCCGUAGGGGCUUAUAGUUUAAUUGGUUGAAACGUACCGCUCAUAACGGUAAUAUUGUAGGUUCGAGCCCUACUAAGCCUACCACCCCCUUCUCUUCACCCGAUACAAGAAGGCAGUCGAAGUCCCCUCCACUCUUAAUUUUAUGGGAAGACAUCGCGUUCCUAGUCGAUUUCCCUCAUUGCGCUGUCCGUCCCCCUUAAUGCUACGAAGUGAAGCAGGCAUAGAGACCAACCAGUUGGUCUCUAUCCAAGAAAAGAUCUUUCAUCAACCCCGGCUCGGUAUCGGUAGUCUCAGUCUUUCCCUGCCUGCCCUGGUAUGAGUUGAGGGGAGUCUUGUCUUAUUCUACUCUAGGCUCACUCCACCCCCUGUCUUGUCUUAUUUCAGGAGGGACUCGAUUUUUAAGAAAUCCCUGACUCUGUCUUUGGGCUAAAGCCUAUAGUUAGUUCUCUCCUCACUAACGGAAGUAUCUUAGUUAGUAGCAUCAGCUCUUCCGAUUCCUCUUCCGAAUCCGAUUCCUCUUCCGAUUCCUCUUCCGGGGGGAAAGCCUAAGUCAGGAGUAUUCGCGGGCUAUCCACAAGCAUUAGUUCUCCCCCUGACCUGCCUCCCAACCUCAAGAUCAUCAGCGGACGACGCCUUCUUCCGAAAGUCCUCCCUCUUUGCUUUGCCCCAGCGAAAGAGACUAAAAAAGAUCCGUAUCCGAUUCCUCGGGUCUUGCUGCGUCAGCUACCGUAGAUAGGAGGCUUUAGCCUAUAAAGCAGCUUAGUAGAACGAUGACGGGGAGUUUGGCAUGAUAGUUAGAGAAGGAAGUGGCGAGAAAACAAAGAUGCAUUGGUCUAGUUAUGAAUCAAAGUAUAUUUAUUAUAUUAAAUUUUUCUUGUUAUCGUUUGUGCCCCACCCUAUACUAAUAUGGGGGUCACUGCACUCAAUCUAAAGAGUAGAGGUUCCCUCCGGGGCCUUCGGGGGAGUGGAACCUCUAUCAUACCUUAAGUCUGACUGUAAACUACUUUUGAGAGAAAGACAGGAAGGAAAUUGCGUAUGAUGACCGGUGAACCUUCACGUUUAGGGAUCCCUCUCAUUGAUGAGGGGAUUCGGGAUUGCCUUGAAAAAAAGCUCUCCUUUGAGGGGAAAAUUGGCCUACUUGCCUCGGUCAGGACUUAAGCCAUGCCUUUAUUAAACAACGCCAUCCCAUCUCAGAACGAAAGUCUCAUCCAUUGGGUCUUAAAGGGGCGAAGCGUAUUUACUCGCAAGGAAGAUUGAUAGCCCCAUCGAUAGCUAUCUGUAUAAGUAUGCCGCGGUUGUCGAUUUCUUUGACUCUGUCUCUUCCUAAACUGGAACGAGAAGAUGCAAAGAAGAAGGAACCCAAGGGGAAGAGUCAUUCAUGCUCUCUAGCCAGGGUAUGGAGCGAAUAGUAAGAGGUCUUAGCUGCUUAUCCGGUUUUAGCGGAAGAGGAGCCAUCUGCUCGUUCCCUAUCGAGUGGAUCAAAUCCCAAGCCUUAAGAGCCCAUUAACCCAUGUUCUGUUCCGCUAGCCAGCUACGCUAAAAAGCUUGCCAUCGACCCCUGUUGAUAACCUCUCCUUGUAACUUUCCUAUGUAUGGUCUCUCCACUAACUAAGCUUUGAUCUACGCGCACUAGCUUCCUCGGCGACUAAUGCCCUUCUGCUGGUCUUUCGUCCAUUGCCUAUGGUCUUUGGUAAGUAGUCUAUAGUUCACUUUCGUCUAUGGCCUGCCCCGCUCUCUUUUCAACUGAGUUAUUAGUACUUCGGAGUGGUGCAUACUCUCCUGCUUGGCUAUUGAAUGAAUCUUAUGCUUGUCAGGUCCACUCCAGUUGACCUCUCUUGUUCUCCCCCCCCCUUACACAACCGGGUGGAGGACUCAUGUAAACUUCUUCCUGUAGGUCCCCGUUCAGGAAGGCAUUUUUCACAUCUAAUUGGAACAGAGGCCAAUCUCGAUUCGCAGCAAUAGAGAGCAGGAGACGAACAGAAUCUUGGCUACCGGGGCAAAGGCUUCCUCGUAAUCUAUCCCAUAUGUUUGAGUAAAGCCUUUACUAGCCUGACCUUUUCCUCCUUUCUCCCACAAAGCUUCCCUUCACAACCAGUCCCAUAUCCAAUUAGUAGAGAUCGAGAUGGGGAGACUAAAAAUGAGACAAAUGCGCAUUUCCUCUCUGAAUCGAGAGGUAUCAGAUCGAAGUAAAAAAAGUAAUGUAUUAUAUCCGGGAGAACAAAGUAGAUUAAUGAGCAAAUUCUGGCAUGAGAGGACCAAUGAGACAGAAGACUGUUGGAUGCAUUCCUUCGCUAGCAGGGCUUCGGCCCAUCUCAAUGGAAGAGUCUUCGGUCAGUAAUCUCGUACUCUCGACCGGCUCGAACCACUACGUUAUCCAUGUUCCGGCUCAUUCGUAUGCUCAUCCUAUUCUCGCCCAACACCAGAACCUGUAAUAAACCAUCAUUUCAAACCAUCCUGUUAAAUAAAGGGAAUCUUUGGAUAUCAGUUCGAAGGUAUCAUUAGCCGAAGAAAGUGAAGUAGCUCCUACCUACAGGAGCAUCUUCCUUCCCUUUUUCGGGGGAUCGGGAAGAGGAAAUCUGGUGUGAGGUCUGAGGUCAACGGUAAUAUGUCACCCUGCUUGAAUGAGAGUACUCUAUUUCCAUUAGGAGCUUCCCCCAGCUGAGCUAGGCAACUUCCCUAAUGAAAGGAAUAUAGCAUAAAUUAAAUUAGGGAGGCCGUAGAUGAAAGCCUCUUCAGUAAACUCUGUCCGCUUCCGCUUCUGAAUCUGGAUGGCGGCUUUGGUUGGAGAAGAGAGUCUUUCAGUUACGGUUUAGGGCUAGUGAGUUACUAGACGUUCGUGAAGGCAGCCUACCAAUAAUAGAUAUCGCUCGUAGACAUAAAACCGUUUUCCUCUUUUAUAGGCGACUUAGAAAAAAGAAAGAACUUCUUGUUUUUGUUUUGAAAAGCGCUGCGUACAGUUCUGGGGGUUGUAGAACAACUACUUGUUCGCCGUUCUUUUUCCGUUAGCCAGUAUCGAGACUCUAAUACUCCUUGCGCUUAGCCCACCGCAGGUGCUUUGAUAGAGAGUAACUUUCGGGUUGUAGGGCGCAAGGGGAUCUUGAAUCAAUUCCCUCUUUGCCAGUAGCUAGUUUAGAUAUGGCAAGCGGUUCGAGUCAAGUUUUUCAGUUAAAGAACCAAUUGUUGGCAAGAGUCAGAAAUAUGAAGUAAACGACUUGGUCUCUUCUGGAGAGUUAGAAAAAAGAAAGUAUCCUUCUGUGAACGCUGGGGAAGGGAAGGAAAGGCUCUCGCACUAGUUGUUCUGUAAGAAGGGCUUUCAUUAGCGUGAGAAGGCGGGUUUUCUGGAUGUUGGCAAAUGGGCAUGAGAAGGAGCAUCGUUCCAUGCUGGAGAUCCUUUACUAAACCCCUACCCUAACCAUUAUCAGAGCCUACCAUGAACCACGCUUUGUUUGUUUUUCUUUUUUGGGUUGUGCGAGCUCCGGCUACCGCUGGGGAGAGGGAAAGUUACGGAGCUACGCACGAAGAGCCCAAACGGAUAGAGACCAAUAAGGACACCUAAAGAUGAAGCAGGACGCCACACCAGAUAAGAGAAAGAUCAAAGCCCGAAGCCAGCAAAAGGAGUCCCAAGAUCCGCCGAAGGAGACAGACCUAAGGAACGAAAAAGAAAAAGGAGCGAAAACGAAAAGAAGGAAAAGAGGUAGAUUUCCCUAGACCCUCUAAUAGGAGCCCGCCCCUUCUUCCGAAUCAAGGGGAAAGGGGGACGACAAGAGGCUGGGGCCAAACUCCCCCGACACCGAUGAACUAACGGCUAUAGAUGGAUACCGGUAUCGCCAGCAAGCUUCAUUCUCGAGGAGCGGGGCCAAUUAAGUAAAGGCCCUCGAGAUUGGAAUCAAGCAUGUUGGUGAUGAAUUGAGGGAACUGAACUAUAUGUGUGUUAAGCAAAGCAGUUCUGGUCCUCCAUUCGUUGGGCUCUUCGUGACCCUAUCAGUCGGCUUGCCACUAAUACAAUACCCAACAACAACAAAAGAAAGAAAGAAAGUACACCUUCACGCCCUUCUACCGCUUUUUCUGAACGCAAUUACUAGCUUACUGUCCACUUUCCUUCCCCACUUCACCGCCCUGGUCCUCGAUGUAUCGAUGCCUUUCUUUACUUGAUGAGCGGAUAGGCACUUCUUAUAUAUUUAUAUUUGUGUCGAGGUACUUUGGAUUCGGCUUGUUACCGCAUCACUCGCGCCGCCAAGCUUGCCUCUCGGGUAGGGGCUUUUUUUCGGGUUGCUAAGCAUUACAUCCACGGGAAAACCUCCGAGAGAGUCCGUUUGGCAGCAAAACAUAGCGAGUGGAGUCAGUAGGAUGAGGCGGCCGGAAGAGACUGAGCCCGGACGAAGCCAAUCACAUUGAGUUGUAGAUUGACAUAGUUAACCUUCAGUGCACUUCAAAUAGAAAGUCAGAGUUGAAGCUGAGCGUUCACCUUAGCGGCACCUCUGACCUCAGAUGCAUGUGUUAAGCAUAUAACUAGCGAGCGAACCAUACUUCGGAUAUCGCUCGGAGCAAGGCCAGUCGCUGGAUUAAGACUAACAAACCGACCGACCAUUCCUUAUCAAAUCAAACCCAGCAAGAGACGUCACUACGUACCUCGGCCUCAGUGCGUCCUACUUGUCUCGUUCGUCUUUUAAGCCUGCUAUGCAUCCCUGCUCCUUCAACCGAUUGACCCAGUCGUCCGAGGUAAGGAGUUACCUCUGGGAUCGUUGGGAAUGACCUCCUUUUCAAAUGAGGCCAUAUCCAUUCGACUAAACAACUCGUUGUUUUCGUCGAAACAAUACCUAACUCUUGGGUACCACAGUACACCUAAGAAUGAGGGUCUUUUACUUCCUUCUGUUACCUUUCGGUACCAUGAAUUAAGUUCAAAAGGCAAGGAACGUAGUAACUCGACUGUAAGGAGAGGACCG